GUCUCUUUCGUCUAGAGGUUAGGACAAUGCUUUUUCACAGCAUAAACGCGAGUUCGAUUCUCGCAAGAGAUA
Molecule: transfer RNA, 72 nt
Filed under: Diacronema lutheri
Lineage: Eukaryota; Haptophyta; Pavlovophyceae; Pavlovales; Pavlovaceae
Also listed under: 1 other name
Description: tRNA-Glu
Rfam family: tRNA
About the family: Transfer RNA (tRNA) molecules are approximately 80 nucleotides in length.
Source: RNAcentral